GGUUUACCUUUUACGGCGAACGAAUCUACGAGUGCGCGAAAGCUGAAAGAGCCUGAAAACCUUGACGGGGGAAAAUCUAGAGACGAAUCACACGACGAACCCAACUCUCAUUCCGAAACUCAGAAACCCCUUUUUAAUAAAUAAAUAAAUAAAUAAAUAAAUAAACACGACAAUAUGGAAUCGGAGCUAAAGGACAUGAAUUCGAAUCCACCGUCGUCGUCGUCGUCGUCGAGCAGCAAAGAGGAACGCCCCCUGCUCAAAUCAGAAUCCGACGUGUCCGCCGCCAUCGAAGAGCUCGACAAAAAGUUCGCGCCUUUCGCGAGGACGGACUCGUACGGGACGAUGGGUCUGGGUCCUUUUCCGACGGCGGAGAAGGUGAAGCUCGCGGCGGCGAUGGUGACGCUCGUUCCGGUGCGGUUCGUUCUGGCGAUGAGCAUCUUGCUUCUGUAUUACUUGGUGUGCAGGGUGUUCACGCUGUUCUCGGCUCCGUAUCGUGGAGGAGAGGAGGAGGAGGAGGAGGAAGAAGAAGAGGGUGGAGGAGGGGUUGUUCAGGAGGAUUAUGCUCACAUGGGAGGGUGGAGAAGGGUUGUGAUCGUGCGGUGUGGGAGGUUUCUCUCUAGAGUUUUGCUUUUUGUGUUUGGGUUUUAUUGGAUCCCUGAGAGCUCUCUGGAUCGAGUUGAUUCUGAUCUCAAAACAACUUCUUCUGAGAUUGCAGAGAAUGGUGAAACCGAGAAGGAGGAACCUGAAAGGCCUGGUGUCAUUGUGUCUAAUCACGUUUCGUACCUUGACAUUUUGUAUCAUAUGUCUGCUUCUUUCCCAAGUUUUGUCGCCAAGAGAUCAGUGGGCAAACUUCCUCUUGUUGGCCUUAUCAGCAAAUGUCUUGGUUGUGUCUUUGUUCAGCGAGAAGCAAAAUCUCCUGAUUUCAAGGGUGUAUCUGGCACAGUAAACGAAAGAGUUCGAGAAGCUCAUAGGAAUAAAUCUGCUCCAACUAUUAUGCUUUUUCCAGAAGGAACAACUACCAAUGGAGACUACUUGCUUCAAUUCAAGACAGGUGCAUUUCUGGCAGGAACUCCUGUUCUUCCUGUUAUUUUAAAAUAUCCAUACGAGCGUUUCAGCGUGGCAUGGGAUACAAUCUCCGGAGCACGCCACAUUAUCUUCCUUCUCUGUCAAUUCGUAAACCACCUGGAGGUGAUACGGUUACCUGUAUACUACCCUUCACAAGAAGAGAAAGACAAUCCCAAACUCUAUGCUAGCAAUGUCCGGAGAUUAAUGGCCACCAAGGGUAACCUGAUUCUAUCGGACUUAGGACUUGGAGACAAGAGGAUAUAUCACGCGACCCUCAAUGAAUAAAGAAGCUGUGGCUGGGAUGGGAAUGUAAAAUCUGAAGCAAUGUCUUUCGUGUUGGUGCAGGCAACUUGUAGACACACACACACACACACACUUAGACAGGUUCUUCAUCCUCCCAACAACUUGCAGAGAACUUGACUCAGAAUAUAUAGUGUUCUUGAUUCUUUAUUUGUUGCAACAGGAGGAAACAACAACAGUAGCUUAACCAGAUAAUAGAUGGUGGUUAGAGCUUCUUUCCUCCCUUUUACUUAAUGGACAAACGAAUAAAAAAACAGAGCGGAGCUAUUAUAGGUAGACGGGGGGACGUACAUACUAGCUAGGGUUCUUCUGCUACUUCUUCUUCUUCAUCUUGAUGUAUCAUGUUGACAAGCAUAUCGACUUGCUCUUUCAACAUUGUAUUCUCUCUUUCUAUCUCUGUUCUCUUGCUUCUCUCUUGUAGCAGCUGAAGUUGCAGAUGCUCUAAGCAACGUGAGUCCUCUUCUAGCUGCUCGUUUAACCCA
RNA transcript from Raphanus sativus (radish), 1847 nucleotides. It is a transcript of the gene named lysophospholipid acyltransferase LPEAT1, with no coding region annotated. NCBI's taxonomy places the organism in Eukaryota, Viridiplantae, Streptophyta, Magnoliopsida, Brassicales, Brassicaceae. The transcript has 10 exons. The record is from RefSeq and is a predicted model, not a curated record.